Molecule: ribosomal RNA, 253 nt
Filed under: uncultured bacterium
Lineage: Bacteria
Description: partial 16S ribosomal RNA
Rfam family: Bacterial small subunit ribosomal RNA
Source: RNAcentral
GACGAACUGUCCUAACGUUGUUCGGAAUCACUGGGCUUAAAGGGCGCGUAGGCGGUCCGCCAAGUCAGGGGUGAAAUCCUGCAGCUUAACUGUAGAAGUGCCUUUGAUACUGUCGGUCUUGAGGGAAAUAGGGGUGUGCGGAACUUCCAGUGGAGCGGUGAAAUGCGUUGAUAUUGGAAGGAACGCCGGAGGCGAAAGCGGCGCACUGGAUUUUUUCUGACGCUGAGGCGCGAAAGCUAGGGGAGCAAACGGG